CACCGCGGUUAUACGAGAGGUCCAAGCUGACAAACGCCGGCGUAAAGCGUGGUUAUGAACUUCAACUCACUAAAGCCAAAUGCCCUCAAAGCUGUUAUACGCUCCCGAGGGCCAGAGACCCACUAACGAAAGUAGCUUUAAUUUCCUGAAUCCACGAAAGCUAUGGAA
This 168-nucleotide ribosomal RNA is filed under the name Choerodon margaritiferus (pearly tuskfish). RNAcentral's name for it is "partial 12S rRNA". Lineage: Eukaryota; Metazoa; Chordata; Actinopteri; Labriformes; Labridae. The record is from RNAcentral.